RNAcentral lists this ribosomal RNA (277 nucleotides) under uncultured prokaryote. Its description in RNAcentral is "partial 16S ribosomal RNA". It matches the Rfam family "Bacterial small subunit ribosomal RNA", at positions 524 to 801 of the family's 1533-position model. The record is from RNAcentral.
UACGUAGGGGGCUAGCGUUAUCCGGAAUUACUGGGCGUAAAGGGUGCGUAGGUGGUUUCUUAAGUCAGAGGUGAAAGGCUACGGCUCAACCGUAGUAGGCCUUUGAAACUGGGAAACUUGAGUGCAGGAGAGGAGAGUGGAAUUCCUAGUGUAGCGGUGAAAUGCGUAGAUAUUAGGAGGAACGCCAGUUGCGAAGGCGGCUCUCUGGACUGUAACUGACACUGAGGCACGAAAGCGUGGGGAGCAAACAGGAUUAGAUACCCUGGUAGUCCCUGAG